UACCUCAACUCCGGCCUCACUUAGG
This 25-nucleotide non-coding RNA is filed under the name Rattus norvegicus (Norway rat). Lineage: Eukaryota; Metazoa; Chordata; Mammalia; Rodentia; Muridae. The record is from RNAcentral.